GGGGGUAAUGCACUUUCAGUUGAUCUGUUACCAGCCAUGAAGGUAACUCUGCUCUACAGCUGGAGUGUUUUUGGAGCUUUAUCCCACAGUCCUGGAGGAACAGGAUCAUCUGAACUGUAGAAGCUUCAUCCUUCCUACCUGCCUAAGGUUUUUAUUCAAAAACAACCAAUCAAUUUCACAAGCAUCAAGUUUCAGGUGCUGAAAGAGGUUAAGCACAAGAAUCCAUCAAAAAAAUUGUUUACUACAUGUCACAGAUAAAUUAAAAACCAAGUCUAGGAAAGAUGAAAACUCACCAAUGUUCAGACUGUGGGAAGAGCUUUCAUAGACUGAGUAAUCUCAAAUCACACCAGCUAAUUCACACAGGUGAGAAACCUUUUCAGUGCUCAGUUUGUGGGAAGAGUUUUAAUCAACGGAGUAAUCUCAAAGCACACCAGCGCAUUCACACUGGAGAGACACCGCAUCCCUGUUCAGACUGUGGGAGGAUUUUUAAUCAACUGCCUCAACUCCAACUACAUCAGCGCACUCACACAGGAGAAAAACCUUAUCACUGUCCAGACUGUGGAAAGAGUUUUAAUCAACAAAUUACUCUCAACACACACCAGCGUAUUCACACAGGAGAAAAACCAUAUUACUACUCAGAAUGUGGGAAAAGUUUUAAUCAGCUAAUUAUUCUAAACAGACAUCAGCGCACUCACACAGGAGAGAAACCGUAUCAGUGUUCAGAGUGUGGGAAGAGUUUUAAUCAACUGGGUCACCUCCAACAGCACCAGUGCACUCAUUACAUUACAUUACAUUACAUUUGGCAGACGCUUUUGUCCAAAGCGACUUACAAUAGUCAAGUACAAUGUAAAAUAAGUUUAAAGGAAAAACAUCUUUGGAUAGGGAUAAAAGGAGGACAAAGGGGAAUAAUAGGAUAGAGGAGUGAAGGAGAGGAAGAAGGAAAUGAGGUUAGAAGUAGUUAGUGUGUUAGAGGUGUUAAGAGAGUAAGUGCUCUUUGAAGAGCUCUGUCUUCAGGAGUUUCUUAAAGAUAGCGAGAGAUUCUCCUGAUCUGGUAGUGGAGGGUAGUUUGUUCCACCAUUGGGGAACUCUGUAUGAGAACAGUCUGGAUUGCUUUGUGUGAAUGUUUGGCAAAGCGAGGCGACGUUCACUGGAGGAGCGCAGCGGCCGGGAGGUAGCGUAAGCCUUCAGGAGCGAGUGCAGGUAGGAAGGAGCCUGUUCUGACAUCACCUUGUAGGCGAUUGUAAGAGUUUUGAAUUUGAUGCGAGCAUCAACUGGUAGCCAAUGGAGCUCAAUGAGCAGCGGGGUGACAUGUGCCCGUUUUGGCUGGUUGAAGACCAGACGUGCUGCUGCUCACACAGGAGAGAAACCAUAUCACUGCUCUGAGUGUGGAAAAAGUUUUAAUCAACUGGGUCACCUCCAGCUACACCAGCGCAUUCACACAGGAGAGAAACCGUAUUACUGUUUGAAGUGUGAAAAGAGCUUCAGGCAUUCACCUACAUUUAAAAACCACAAAUGUUCUAAUGGAGACCAAAGGGAUAGUUGAAGACAAAGACCUACAAUGUUGUUGCAUAAAUGUAGAUCCUAUAUUAAUGACUGUCAUAACAAAGCUUGAACUAAUUGUAUCUGAAACCAUGUGCUGUCCAGUUAAAUUCCCUACAUUGAGUGAUUAGCAUUUAUUAUAACAAAAUAUUGUCAGUUUGAUUUUUAGAAAAUAAAUAAAUAUACCACAGACAUAAUUCUUCAACUCAUUAACAUUGAAAAAAAAAAUAUAUAUAUAUAUAUUUUUUUUUUUUUUCGUGCGUCUUAACAUGUUUUUAUUUAAAAAUUGCUGAGUUGGGCAUAUAAUAAAUGAAAUCAUGUUUUGUGGUUCCCCAGUUUCACCCUGCAGAAAAAGUCUGGCCUAUAUGAAUCUUCACAGCUGUUUCAGUGAUGUAAUGUAAGAAAGCUCUGUUUACUGUUAUCACAUGAUGUUUCCAUUGAGGCACAGAAUGAUACAGUUUGCAUAUAUAUAUAAUUGGAGUAGUUUGUUUUGCAGGGCAUUAUUUUUUUAAUGCUUUUGCUAUAUUGUGAAGAACAGAGAAUAAAAAAAUUAACUGAUGAGCUACAGAGUUGCUUACUGUCUAUUCUAUUAGACACUCUCAUCUAUUGCUGCACAGUUUGUGUUGGUCAUUCGCUUGUCCUUAAUCAUCAAAGGAGAAGACCUGCAGGCUGUAAAUCAUAAAACUACAUGCUGAUCAGUUCUUUGUUAAAUUAAAUCAGGUCUGCUGGUAAACAACUAUGAAAAGAAUCCAUGUCGAAGCAAAAGUGUACCAAUAAUAUGAUAUGAUUUUCAGUAGCUUUAGUUUUUCUUCAGUAUUUUGUUUAUGCUUGUGUAUUGUUCAUACAGUGCAUAUUACUGACCAGAAUAAGAUCAAAACUAAAUAAGAUAUUGAUGGCAACAUUCCAAUGAUAAUUGAGUUUACUCUUAUUUUGUUAUGCUCAUCUUAUUAUUUUGAUAUAGUAAGUCGUUAUUUUGAUAUACUAAGUCAUCUUGAGAUAGAAAAUCAUUAUUUUGAGAAAGUAAAUAAUUAUUUUGGGAUGGUAAGUCAUUGUUUUGAAAUACUAUCUCAUUAUUUUGAGAUAAUAUUUUGAGAUAUUUAAUCAUUAUUUUGAGAUAUUAAGUAUUUU
Astyanax mexicanus (Mexican tetra) is the source of this 2667-nucleotide RNA transcript. It is a transcript of the gene named zinc finger protein 239, with no coding region annotated. The transcript has 2 exons. Lineage: Eukaryota; Metazoa; Chordata; Actinopteri; Characiformes; Acestrorhamphidae. The record is from RefSeq and is a predicted model, not a curated record.